UACGAAGGGGGCUAGCGUUGCUCGGAAUCACUGGGCGUAAAGGGUGCGUAGGCGGGUCUUUAAGUCAGGGGUGAAAUCCUGGAGCUCAACUCCAGAACUGCCUUUGAUACUGAGGAUCUUGAGUUCGGGAGAGGUGAGUGGAACUGCGAGCGUAGAGGUGAAAUUCGUAGAUAUUCGCAAGAACACCAGUGGCGAAGGCGGCUCACUGGCCCGAUACUGACGCUGAGGCACGAAAGCGUGGGGAGCAAACAGG
This 253-nucleotide ribosomal RNA is filed under the name uncultured bacterium. Its description in RNAcentral is "partial 16S ribosomal RNA". It matches the Rfam family "Bacterial small subunit ribosomal RNA", at positions 524 to 776 of the family's 1533-position model. The record is from RNAcentral.